ACAUCCUCCCCCAGCGCAGCCACACGCACGAGGCGUGCAGCCACGGGCGUCGGGCGUGUGCGGCUUCACCGGCGCUGCUCGGUCGCAUGGCUCUGCUGCUAACGGUGUGGACUAGCCACAUCCUACUGCUACUACUGCAAGAUAAAUAGAUCAAGGUGAAUAGAUGCUCAUGGACUGAUUCAAACCGAGGUGAAGAUAGACAAGAAGUCAAGCAAGAAGGGCUAACACAACAAGGUACUUGAUUAGUACCUGAUGGCGCAUGCAACCCAAAGGGCUUCACCGCAGUGAAGGACAACAGUGUGGCAGAAGGUGAAAAGGCAAGUGGUGGUGGUACUCCAGUGUAUGUGUGCGUGUGAGGUGGAAUGGACCACAGUGAAAGGAAUGGCUCCUAUUUAUAGUGGGGUUAGUAGCUAUGUCGGUUUGGAGAGGCAUUACAUCUGGCAUGCAUGCGUGGUUAGGCUUGCAUGCAUGCCUCCACUUGUGUCUCUUGUAGGCUGUACUAGGGACAAGUGUAAUUUGCUUGACUGGCCAUUAGUUGGCAUUUACUUUAUGUGGAAAAAAAUGAGACCAAGAUCUGAUUAUAAAUUUGUAGAAUAUAUGGAGGUUUGGAAAA
Molecule: long non-coding RNA, 613 nt
Organism: Triticum aestivum (bread wheat)
Lineage: Eukaryota; Viridiplantae; Streptophyta; Magnoliopsida; Poales; Poaceae
Exons: 2
Source: RefSeq, a predicted model, not a curated record